RNAcentral lists this long non-coding RNA (6541 nucleotides) under Triticum aestivum (bread wheat). RNAcentral's name for it is "long non-coding RNA (TAES_LNC023531)". Lineage: Eukaryota; Viridiplantae; Streptophyta; Magnoliopsida; Poales; Poaceae. The record is from RNAcentral.
CAGUUAUAUAAUUAAUCAAUCUCAAUUCUCAGACCCAGCAUUUGGAAGGCCCAAAGGGCAAAUGGGCCUGGAUCACGGUGAGGCUGACACUGGCCCCAAAAAAGAGCCCCUCCUUCCUCCCCCCUUUGUUCCGGCAGCCGUCCAGUUCACCUCAAAAAAAAAAAGUUUACAAUGCCCAUCCAUCCGCCCUUCGCCGUCGCCGACGUGGUCUCCCGUGGCGGCGGGGGACGCCGGCCCCUUAGGUCGCCGCUCUCACCAAGGUAAGGAAGUGUCCCAUCUACAUCGUCGGUCUCCGGUCUCCUCUUCCUGUAAUCCAGUGAUGAAAUGCUGUUUCUUACCGAUUUAUCCUCGCUUGGUUGCAACCAUUAUUCAUUGCGAUUAGCCGAGCUCAUCUUUCCUCAGUACUGAUUUGCUGUCCUCGUUCUGGUUCCCCGGCGAGCUGAAUCCCUCAUUUUUAGCCGCCCCUGCGUCUGCGGAAUUGAUGCGGAUCUGGAUUCAGGGGCUGUGAUAGUGUAGUCCGUGGACUGAAGAUUUGAGCCCUGUAAUUUGCCUUCUGUGAUGGGACUAGUAAUGUUUACUGCCACCACAGCUUGUUGUUCAGCUGAACAAAAUUAUACUAGAAUCCUUGCUCAAUAUUGUGUGAGAUAAUGGUAAACAGAGUCUUAUGGUACUCUCUGAAUUAUUGUGACCGUGCAGCAGCUUGUCAUAGGCUUUUGUCCAUGCCCAUCUAGAGAUUAUUUGGAUGAUUGCUUCAACACUGGUCUGAAACUAUGCCAAGGCACUUGUUUUGUCAUUCGCACUGGGUGGGGCGAAUAAAUGUGCCAUGUCAAUUCAUUGGAUUAUGGUCAAUACUGAGAGUGGUUCCCCAUUAGAUGAGUGCGUGGGGAUAAAUUAUACAGAUAGCAUGCCAAAUUUCUUUUUGACCAUCUAAUUUGAUUUCUGAAAAUAAGAUAAGGAAGUGAUUUUCCUAUCAUAUCUUUAUUUCUCGUAUAAAAAGAAUGCUUACAAUAGUAGUAAGGUAUUGUAAAUUGGAGUGUUUCUUAACUAAUGUUCAUGUGGAAUUGGAAAAUUCUUCUUUUUUUUUACCAUAAUAUGCAUAAGCCAAGUGUAUAAUUUCGGUUAGAAGGUGCAAAGAAUCACAAAAAAGUCUUUCUGGUGCUGUGAACAAGGACAACAUAUUAAGUUAUUUACAAAAGAACAAGAAGCCUGAUAUUUAACCUUCUGCCUAAGUAAGACAUAAACACAAUAGCUAUAUCUCCCUGGAACAACGAUCUACUGUACCGCUAUAACCAGCCUCCAGAGUUUGCACUCUUUGGUUAUGUGUCCAGUAGAGCCACAAAUUAGGGUGAGUAGAACCAGAAUUGCAAUCCCCUGAAUCUGCUAGUCAAUGCAUUAAGGCCAAUGGAAGAUGUAACAUUGAUUUACCAAGCUUCUGCCACCAAUAUGCUUGCACUGGAAGAACCAGCACUGGAUCUUAUAAUCUGAUCAUAUUGAAUACCCUCCAUUGUUUCUCCAUUUCCACACGAACUUCGCUGGUGCCAGUGAAUCAAGUGUGCUGGCACUCAACUGGUCCCAAAGAUGCGGCUCUUCGUGAAUUGGCCUGGACACUGAGAGAUCCCAAAACAUCAGCAUUCCAUUCAUUAUUCAGAGCCUCCUAAACAAUGUGUGUAUUCUUGAUUCUUGUCGUCACAAUCACAAGGGAGAAGAGAGCUGGUGCAGGCUCCUCAGUCAAGCACUUGUUCAGCCAUCUAUCCUCCAGAAAAGGAACUUCUGCACUUCCGAGCUGCAAAGAAACUGAAGCAUUGAAUAAAGCAUGAAUAUCUUGUUUGACAUUGACCUUCUAGAACAGCAAUCCAUGUGGUAAAGUAUUUCUUUAUUUCCAUCUAUCUUGUUCAUUGAUUGGAUAAGAUUGAUUUACAUGUUUCUUCAAUUCAUAUUGAUGUAAAAGAACGAAAAUAUGUUCGGCAUGCUUACAUGUUUUCUAUUGUGAUGAUGUCCUUCUUCUUUUUAUUGCAUUGCCAACAAUAGGUUCCCUCACGAUAACCUGCUGUAUGGUGUUGGUGCUGCUUGUGUUGAUCUCAGAGCAUAGCUGUCCAAAUGUUUUGCUGCAUCUUAUGACACUGAGUUUCUUCAGGGAAAGAGGUAGUAAGCCUAUCUGGGGAAGAGAUUCAAGUUUUGGACAUUUCUCUAUGCACAGAGACUCAAGGGAUGUGAGAUGAAUCAUGUUGCUUGUUCCCUGCAUCUUACAUUCUGAAGAUUUUUUAUGGUUAGCAUCCCUCGAAGUUCAUUCAACUCCCUCAGUUGGCAUAUGUUGUGCCUCAUAUUACUCUUCACUUUGUUCUCCUCUAGUUCUUUUGAGGGAUCUCGGCCUGCCAAUCAAUUCUAUGCUUGAAAUUAUUUUCUUCGGAGCCUUUAAGUAUCUUAACUGGGUCAACCUACUUAAGCCCUCUUGGAGUUCCUUUUUCAUGAUCCUGUCUUGAGUUUGCAGACUCAACCCUUGUAAAUGGUAGAGUUUGAAUAAUGACUUGGGGACAUUGAUGAAGUUUCUACUUUCAUGGAUGUUUAGAUACCUAAGAUGGACCAAAUGAUCAAGACUGUCUGGAAGCAUACCAUCAGGAUUGCACAGUACUAAAACGCGUAAGCUUCUUAGCUCUUUGAGUAUAUGUUCAAGUAUAUGAUUAAAGUUUGACGAGGAGACCCUUUCGCAAGAAGCACCUUCUUGUGCCUUGCUUAUUAUUAAGCUUCUCAGAUUUUUCUUUAAUUCUUCCAAACUCAUGUACACCUUUAAGAUAUUGCUUGCACUGACAUAUAGGUGGCGAACAUUUCUUGGAAUACAUACAUUGAAGUCAUCUUCUAUUCGGAAGUGUUCUCCAUUGGACACCGACUCUGCAAAAUCAUGUAGCAAGUCGUGAACUACAUAGUGGUCCUCUUGGUUGGGUACCUUCUCAAUGAAUAAAAGCUGCAAGAGAUCAUUGAUGUAACGACGUGCAGUUUCAUCUGGUGUUUGCGUGUCAAGGAAACCGUGAGCUCUCCACAUCUGUAUUAGCUCAUCUCCUCGAAGGUGGUAUUUCUUAGGAAACAAUGCAAAGUAAACAAAGCAUUGCUUCAAAUGGUCAGGAAGAUGCUCAUAACUCGGUCGCAAUACUGAUAUGAUAUCAUCUUCCUUUUGCUCUAUUUGACACAAUUUCUUUCCACAGAUAGAACUCCAAUGUUCUUCUUUUAGCACCGCUUUCAAUGAACUCCCAACUGUCAUUGCAGCUAAAGGUGAUCCGGCCAACUUGCUCACCACUUCUUGGCCAAUUCUUUUCAGUUGUGGAAAAUCAGAAGGAUUUGCAUCACCGAAUGCACAUUGUGAAAAGAAAUCCCAGUAGUCUUCAUCUUCUAAGCCAUGUAACUCCAUGAUCUCUGUUGAUGCAUUCAUACUUGCAACAUUUUUACUUCGAGUUGUAACUAUUACUUUGCUGCCCUGGCUAGCAAACUUCAGGGGUUUGAACAGGUUCUCCAAUUGGCUCCUCAAUACAUUCCAUACAUCGUCAAGGACUAUCAAAGCCUUUUUCCCAUUCAGCCUAUCCCGAAGUAUCCUCUGAGCUUGAUCUAAACUACUGCUGAGAUUAUCUGACUCUGUCAUCUCUUUUGUUAGACGGCCAACAUCAAAUUUAUCUGAGACAUGGAGCCAUACUGUGAGAUCAAAGUGAUGUGUGUCAUGAAAGUGGUUAUACACUCUCUGUACUAGCGCUGUCUUACCAACACCACCAAUACCAACAAUUGAUAUAACAUCAUAUGGCUGACUGGAUUGUUCAUUGAUCUGAACAAGUAAUUUCUUCAGAUUGUUUUCUUCAUUAACUCGACCGAAAAACUUCUCUGAGCUUGGCAUAGAGCUUGUUGUGCGCCACUGAACUGCCUGUUCCGGUUUGCUGUCCUCUAUCUUGACAAACUCCAGAAAUCUUUGCAUCUCACUAUCAAUCUCAACAAACUUAUUGACUACAGAAAUCAAGUCAUCUAUAUCUUCAUCAGAGAAUAGAAAGCGUUUGAGAAGACGAACCGACUGAUUUACUGUCGAGCUGCUGCUACUGCUAGUGGUGGUAGAGGCAGUGGUGACGGUGCUUGAGGAUGAAGAAGAUGAGCCAGCUGCAGCUGAAGCAACUGAGCUAAUCAUGCCCCUGUCUUCAGCUUGUGCUUGGAGAACUCGAUAGUCAAACAAAUCGAGAACAUCCUCAGCUUGACAGGCAGCAUCUUUGAUUCUCCUUAGCCAACUUCCCAUGGCUAUGUUCUUUGCCUGCACUCUCUCAGCUAUAUGUAUCGCUGUUUGGAUCGACGAUAGAUUCUUCUCUAGGGUACUUAGUUUCUCCUUUGUAUCUUUCCGUUGGUAUUCAUACUGGUCUCCAGCAUAGGUGCACACCUUCUCAACUAGCUUGGUGAUGAAAGCUGAGGCUACCCAUCCUCCUACUGCUGAAGCAGCCAUUGCAGCUCAGAUGCUGCAACUCGAAGGAGUUGUCAAAUGCUGGUUUCAAGUGGCCGCAUAAAGGAAAACGAAUGUUGAUUUGAAGAGAGUUGGUAUCUGGAUGCAGUCAAGAGAGAAUCACGAGUAUAAAACUAAUUAUGUCCUUAGAAACUUCCCCGACUUGCAUCGUCUUGUUUUGCAUACGCCCACAUUCUAGUGAAGGUUAGUAAACAUCGCUUUUCAACUUUGUUUUUGCCACAUUUCUUUGUCAGUUUGUGGACCAUAAUUUACCUGAAGGUGUUUCUAAGUAAAAGACUAAUAUUAUCAUCGUAUAAUGUCCUUUUGUUUGCUGGACAACACUAAGACUGAAACUGAAACCUUUGGCACUUACCUUCAGAAAGAAUCGUGUGUCUCAUUCAGCACCUUGUUGCAGGUAACAAUAUAUACCCUCGGUGUGCUCCUAUGCUCCCAUGUGACUCGGCCAUGUGUUAACUUAUGCAGCAUCUGGCCUGUGCAUAUAUGUUAAGUUAUUAAUUCUUGGAGGGCUUAAACUUCUACACCUUCAUUUUUUUUUAUGUACUAGAUCUGAGAACCUAAAAAAUUUGGACAGCAUGCUCCAAUUGGGCUUGAGACCUCGAGUUGUGGUCCAGAUACAGAUAUUUUAUCUUAAUCUCAGUUCAGAAAAUUGCGCGGAACUUGCCCAAGGCUAGAAAAAAAACAAUGAUCAGGAGCAAGAACGUCCAAGGCUAGAUUCGUUUACUAUCAUAUACUCCUUCUGUUCCUAAAUAUUUGUCUUUCUAGAUAUUUCAACAAGUGACUACAUACGAAGCAAAAUGAGUGAAUCUACCCUCUAAAAUAUGUCUAUAUACAUUCAUAUGUGAUAGUCCAUUUGAAAUCUCUAAAAAGACAAAUAUUUAGGAAUGGAGGGAGUACUUUACUGCUUAGAUUGUUAUUAGCAGAAGCCGAAGCCAAAUGGUGUCUUGUUUCUUUUUGUUUAUUGUUGUUCUAGCUGUCGUUCACCUACUUGUCCAUGCCUACAGAGCUUCGAGCCUGUGCUCCAUCAGAAUCGCCCCAUCCCGGUCAGCUUUGCAUUACAAAAGGCUAUAAUACAUCAUGUUUUCUUGUUAUCAACAUGCUUUGGUAUCACCAGUUUUUUAAAGAUUUUUGUAAUGAACUGUCAGAAAAGUGACAAAAUAACCACAUUGUAGGUUCUGUGAGCCUUUAUCUAGAGAGCAACAGAAAUACGUGGCCGGUCGAUGAAUUUCAGUUUCCACUUUGGCAGUUAUGUGGUAUCCGAAGUUUCCUUUCCCCUGCAGUCAACCACUCAACCCUGGGAAGACAAUGUUCAUAAACUACAUGGCAAAUAUUUAUUUUUCUCUUCUUGUAGUCCUGAUUUAACUGAAUAAUCUGGAUUCUGUGGACUGUUGGCCAUUGUAGUUAUUGAUAUUCAUGUUUGUUUGCCCUCACAGUAUCAGGGCUCUGGGCUCGGAUUUCCUAGCGCUCACCAUAAGCGAGGGCAAAGGAAUCCUAGCAUGAAGGUUGGGGCAGUUGGUCUGGUCCAAUAAGCGAGAAUUUUUCCUUUCUUCUGUUUUUAUUUUUUUAUUUUCCUUUCUUUUCUUUUUUGCUUUCUCCUUUUUCCUCUCCUUCUCUUUUUAUAUAUUUACUCUGCUUUUUCUUAUUAUUUUUUGCCAUUUUCAGAUUACUUUAAUUUUAAAUUUGUAUAUUGCAUUAUAUUUGGAAUAUAGUUAUUUUUUUCAUAUUUACUUUUCUUGUAAAUUUAGAACAUUUUUUAAGUAUGUUAACAGUUUUUGAGUCACUCAAAUCUAUUUUUGUACAUAUGGAAUUGUUGUUCAGUGAUACAUAAAUAUCCUUUCUGAGAUUUGUGAAACUUUUUUUCUAGUCAUGAACAAUUCUUUUGGAAUGCAUGGACAUUUUCUAAUAGAAUAAAAAUGGCUUUACGUAUAACACAAAAUAUUUUUAUCUGAUUUUAUGGAAUAUUUUUCAGUGGUAGUGUGAAGAUUUUAUUUGGUAUUCAUGCACAAGUCUCACAACCAUAUGAACAAAAUUUAAAAUUAGAUGCAAUGUUUUUGUAGAGUCAGC